RNAcentral lists this unclassified non-coding RNA (326 nucleotides) under Hevea brasiliensis (rubber tree). The record is from RNAcentral. Lineage: Eukaryota; Viridiplantae; Streptophyta; Magnoliopsida; Malpighiales; Euphorbiaceae.
UUUUUAACAAAUAAAACUAUUUCAAAUUUAAGGUAUGCCAAUGGCCUCUGAUGGGUCACCAUUUCUAUUCCAUGGAUGAUUCAAAACAUCCUACAAUAUGUUUGUAUUCUCAAAUGGGCAGCAUUCAUUACCUCAGUGUUAAUUUAUUUUCUUGUAGUAAAUUGCUUCUGGGGAAGUGCUCUCCAUCCAAUGUCCCGGCGGUAGAACCCUCCCGGCCAGUUGAUUUCCUCAACUGCCUGAUAGGCUCUAUCCCUUGCCUCUUGAAGAUCUCUUCCCUUGGCAGUAACCCCCAGCACCCGGCCCCCAGUAGCAAUGAAGUUGCCAUC